RNAcentral lists this ribosomal RNA (253 nucleotides) under uncultured bacterium. Its description in RNAcentral is "partial 16S ribosomal RNA". It matches the Rfam family "Bacterial small subunit ribosomal RNA", at positions 524 to 776 of the family's 1533-position model. The record is from RNAcentral.
UACGUAGGGUGCAAGCGUUGUCCGGAAUUACUGGGCGUAAAGCGCACGUAGGCGGUCUUUUAAGUCGGUGGUGAAAUCCUGGAGCUCAACUCCAGAACUGCCUUCGAUACUGGAAGACUUGAGUCCGGGAGAGGUGAGUGGAACUGCGAGUGUAGAGGUGAAAUUCGUAGAUAUUCGCAAGAACACCAGUGGCGAAGGCGGCUCACUGGCCCGGUACUGACGCUGAGGUGCGAAAGCGUGGGGAGCAAACAGG